AUGAACGCUGGCGGCGUGCCUAAUACACGCAAGUCGAGCGAACGGACGAGAAGCUUGCUUCUCUGAUGUUAGCGGCGGACGGGUGAGUAACACGUGGAUAACCUACCUAUAAGACUGGGAUAACUUCGGGAAACCGGAGCUAAUACCGGAUAAUAUUUUGAACCGCAUGGUUCAAAAGUGAAAGACGGUCUUGCUGUCACUUAUAGAUGGAUCCGCGCUGCAUUAGCUAGUUGGUAAGGUAACGGCUUACCAAGGCAACGAUGCAUAUCCGACCUGAGAGGGUGAUCGGCCACACUGGAACUGAGACACGGUCCAGACUCCUACGGGAGGCAGCAGUAGGGAAUCUUCCGCAAUGGGCGAAAGCCUGACGGAGCAACGCCGCGUGAGUGAUGAAGGUCUUCGGAUCGUAAAACUCUGUUAUUAGGGAAGAACAUAUGUGUAAGUAACUGUGCACAUCUUGACGGUACCUAAUCAGAAAGCCACGGCUAACUACGUG
This 496-nucleotide ribosomal RNA is filed under the name uncultured bacterium. RNAcentral's name for it is "partial 16S ribosomal RNA". It matches the Rfam family "Bacterial small subunit ribosomal RNA", at positions 29 to 507 of the family's 1533-position model. The record is from RNAcentral.